ACGGAAGGCAGCAGUGGGGAAUAUUGGACAAUGGGGGAAACCCUGAUCCAGCGACGCCGCGUGAACGAUGAAGUAUUUCGGUAUGUAAAGUUCUAUCAGCAGGGAGGAUAAUGACGGUACCUGACUAAGAAGCACCGGCUAAAUACGUGCCAGCAGCCGCGGUAAUACGUAUGGUGCAAGCGUUAUCCGGAUUUACUGGGUGUAAAGGGUGCGUAGGUGGCAUGGCAAGUCUGAAGUGAAAUGCGGGGGCUCAACCCCUGAACUGCUUUGGAAACUGUCAAGCUAGAGCGCAGGAGAGGAAAGCGGAAUUCCUAGUGUAGCGGUGAAAUGCGUAGAUAUUAGGAGGAACACCAGUGGCGAAGGCGGCUUUCUGGACUGUAACUGACACUGAGGCACGAAAGCGUGGGGAGCAAACAGGAUUAGAUACCCUGGUA
Molecule: ribosomal RNA, 434 nt
Filed under: uncultured bacterium
Lineage: Bacteria
Description: partial 16S ribosomal RNA
Rfam family: Bacterial small subunit ribosomal RNA
Source: RNAcentral